RNAcentral lists this long non-coding RNA (887 nucleotides) under Gallus gallus (chicken). Lineage: Eukaryota; Metazoa; Chordata; Aves; Galliformes; Phasianidae. The record is from RNAcentral.
GGAUUUUUAUAGCUGAUUCACUUUCCUAUCCCUUGUUAAGGACUUGAUAAAAUACAUUGUGAAAGUUUAAAAAGUACUGGCAGAAGUUUCUCCACAUGUAGGUGUGGUUAUGUAAAUGUGAAUGAAAACGCCAUAUCAGAUCAGCGGUGUCUUUUCUGCAGCAUUAUAGCAUGUUUCAUCAUACUGAUUACUUUCCUUUACUUACAUUGUGCCAAAGGCCAUCAUUGUAUUUCUCUUGGCUCUUAAUCCUUAUCUUCUGAUGACCAGCAUUAAACAUAAAAAUGAGUCGUCCAUGAGCAACAAAAAGGGUCAUGAAGUUGGUCUCCUUUUGGUCUGAGACGUAGAAAAUCAUUCCAUGAGACGAGUGAGUCUUCAGACUGAUAGAGAACUGAGCUCUUUCACUGAAAUCCUUUGGUAGGUGAUCAAAUUCUUGCCGACUGUUUGCUGUACCUCCAAACUGGUAUGCAUGUUCAGUUGCCUUGGGAUUCAUAGGCAAGUGGCACUGAGGGUCUUUUUGCAUAUUCACUUCUUGAUACAGUUUUUUGAGGCCAGUUGAAGGCUGUGAGGCCUUGUCCUUAUCUCUUCCCACCUUUUUAUUACGGUUUCCUUUAGCUUUUGAUGAGUUUCUUCCUUUCUUAUGGAGGAGAGCAACUGGUGGGGAUUCAACAGGGCAUCCAUAAAAAGAAGUCUGAACUUUCUCAGAGUACCGCUGGAAAUCUUCUACUUCAACCUCCCGAUCCAAUCUAGUGAAGUAUGCGUUGCUUAUGCAGCCAGUGAAGUUGGCUUGCUGUGUUUUGAGCGGAGAGCCACCAAAAUAGAACUUCUUGAUGCUAUCAGGGCUUUUCCCUGCUCUGUCCUUCACUGGAUUCUUCUUGCUUUGUUUCUUG